ACUUCUACGGGAGGCAGCAGUAGGGAAUCUUGCACAAUGGAGGAAACUCUGAUGCAGCGAUGCCGCGUGAGUGAAGAAGGCCUUUGGGUUGUAAAGCUCUUUCGUCGGGGAAGAAAAUGACUGUACCCGAAUAAGAAGGUCCGGCUAACUUCGUGCCAGCAGCCGCGGUAAUACGAAGGGACCUAGCGUAGUUCGGAAUUACUGGGCUUAAAGAGUUCGUAGGUGGUUAAAAAAGUUGGUGGUGAAAUCCCAGAGCUUAACUCUGGAACUGCCAUCAAAACUUUUUAGCUAGAGUAUGAUAGAGGAAAGCAGAAUUUCUAGUGUAGAGGUGAAAUUCGUAGAUAUUAGAAAGAAUACCAAUUGCGAAGGCAGCUUUCUGGAUCAUUACUGACACUGAGGAACGAAAGCAUGGGUAGCGAAGAGGAUUAGAUACCCUCGUAGUCCAUGCUGUAAACGAUGUGUGUUAGACGUUGGAAAUUUAUUUUCAGUGUCGCAGCGAAAGCGAUAAACACACCGCCUGGGGAGUACGACCGCAAGGUUAAAACUCAAAUGAAUUGACGGGGACCCGCACAAGUAGUGGAGCAUGUGGUUUAAUUCGAAGAUACGCGCAGAACCUUACCAACACUUGACAUGUUCGUCGCGACUCUAAGAGAUUAGAGUUUUCGGUUCGGCCGGACGAAACACAGGUGCUGCAUGGCUGUCGUCAGCUCGUGUCGUGAGAUGUUGGGUUAAGUCCCGCAACGAGCGCAACCCUCACUUUUAGUUGCCAUCAUUUAGUUGGGCACUCUGAAAGAACUGCCAGUGAUAAGCUGGAGGAAGGUGGGGAUGACGUCAAGUCCUCAUGGCCCUUACGUGUUGGGCUACACACGUGCUACAAUGGCAUUUACAAUAGGAAGCAAGACGGCGACGUCGAGCAAAUCCUAAAAAUAU
RNAcentral lists this ribosomal RNA (930 nucleotides) under marine metagenome. Its description in RNAcentral is "bacterial SSU rRNA". It matches the Rfam family "Bacterial small subunit ribosomal RNA", at positions 335 to 1284 of the family's 1533-position model. The record is from RNAcentral.